This 500-nucleotide ribosomal RNA is filed under the name uncultured Glomeromycotina. RNAcentral describes it as "partial small subunit ribosomal RNA". It matches the Rfam family "Eukaryotic small subunit ribosomal RNA", at positions 591 to 1092 of the family's 1831-position model. Lineage: Eukaryota; Fungi; Glomeromycota. The record is from RNAcentral.
CCAGUAGCGUAUAUUAAAGUUGUUGCAGUUAAAAAGCUCGUAGUUGAAUUUCGGGAUCAGUUCGUCGGUCGUGCCUUUGGUAUGUACUGGUGUUACUGGUUCCUCCCUUCUGACGAACCGUCAUGUCAUUAAUUUGGUGUGGCGGGAAAUCAGGACUGUUACUUUGAAAAAAUUAGAGUGUUUAAAGCAGGCUCGCGCUUGAAUACAUUAGCAUGGAAUAAUGAAAUAGGACGUUCGAUCCUAUUUUGUUGGUUUCUAGGAUUGACGUAAUGAUUAAUAGUGAUAGUUGGGGGCAUUAGUAUUCAAUUGUCAGAGGUGAAAUUCUUGGAUUUAUUGAAGACUAACUACUGCGAAAGCAUUUGCCAAGGAUGUUUUCAUUAAUCAAGAACGAAAGUUAGGGGAUCGAAGACGAUCAGAUACCGUCGUAGUCUUAACCAUAAACUAUGCCGACUAGGGAUCGGAUGAUGUUAAUUUUUUAAUGACUCAUUCGGCGCCUUACG